GAUGAACGCUGGCGGCGUGCCUAAUACAUGCAAGUCGAGCGAACAGACGAGGAGCUUGCUCCUCUGACGUUAGCGGCGGACGGGUGAGUAACACGUGGAUAACCUACCUAUAAGACUGGGAUAACUUCGGGAAACCGGAGCUAAUACCGGAUAAUAUAUUGAACCGCAUGGUUCAAUAGUGAAAGACGGUUUUGCUGUCACUUAUAGAUGGAUCCGCGCCGCAUUAGCUAGUUGGUAAGGUAACGGCUUACCAAGGCAACGAUGCGUAGCCGACCUGAGAGGGUGAUCGGCCACACUGGAACUGAGACACGGUCCAGACUCCUACGGGAGGCAGCAGUAGGGAAUCUUCCGCAAUGGGCGAAAGCUUGACGGAGCAACGCCGCGUGAGUGAUGAAGGUCUUCGGAUCGUAAAACUCUGUUAUUAGGGAAGAACAAAUGUGUCAAUAACUAUGCACGUCUUGACGGUACCUAAUCAGAAAGCCACGGCUAACUACGUG
Molecule: ribosomal RNA, 497 nt
Filed under: uncultured bacterium
Lineage: Bacteria
Description: partial 16S ribosomal RNA
Rfam family: Bacterial small subunit ribosomal RNA
Source: RNAcentral